ACUACGGGAGGCAGCAGUGGGGAAUAUUGGGCAAUGGGCGCAAGCCUGAUCCAGCAACGCCGCGUGAAGGAAGAAGGCUUUCGGGUUGUAAACUUCUUUUAAGAGGGAAGAGCAGAAGACGGUACCUCUUGAAUAAGCCACGGCUAACUACAUGCCAGCAGCCGCGGUAAUACGGAGGUGGCAAGAGUUGUCCGGAUUUACUGGGAGUAAAGGGCGGGCAGCCGGGAAGACAAGUCAGAUGUGAAAUCCCGCGGCUCAACCGCGGAACGGCAUUUGAAACUGUUUUGCUUGAGUACCGGAGAGGUGAUCGGAAUUCCGUGUGUAGCGGUGAAAUGCGUAGAUAUAAGGAAGAACACCAGUGGCGAAGGCGGACGCCUGGACGGCAACUGACGGUGAGGCGCGAAAGCGUGGGGAGCAAACAGGAUUAGAUACCCGAGUAGUC
Molecule: ribosomal RNA, 442 nt
Filed under: uncultured bacterium
Lineage: Bacteria
Description: partial 16S ribosomal RNA
Rfam family: Bacterial small subunit ribosomal RNA
Source: RNAcentral